GUGGUCUCUAAGUAGGCCCAGCUUUGUUUGGUUCCUAGAGCAACUGAGCCUCAGAUAGACCUUUCCUUUCUGAAUAUUGUAAUAGUAUUAAAUGGGAAGCUCUAGGAGCAAACAAUAAUAGCAAGUGCAAGCUUCCAAUGUAAUGAUGUACAUUAUAUUUUAAUAUUUGGAUGAAGCUAAUGAUGUUUAAGCUUGCCAAAGUGGUAAGGCAUUUCACCAUAUGAAUGGAUUGUUUAUUCCCUACUGUUAUGUUAGGUACACAAGAGGUCAUCUUUUUCAGCAUUCAUUAACAUUAAUAUUAAAACUCUGAGUUCCUCUAAAAAAAAUCCCUAAUUGAAUGGAAAAGGUGCUUCGCAUUUCAAAAGAUCGUGUCAGGAACUGUAACUGGUCACGUUAUUCAUGAGUUUAGGAUUUUAUGAGCCAAAUAAUGAAAUUCCAAGCUCUUAUUAUGAGAGAAUACUAUUCUACAACCAUUUAGAGAUCAUGUCAUGGUUUUCCUAUAGCAUCAGCUCCUGAGACACUUUACACUAUUGACAGAAAUAUGAAAUGUUUCUUUGCAUAACAUAGACUAAGGGUAUUAUAACUUUUUUCCCCAUUUUAUUCAAGAAAGCAGUGGUGGAAUAUCUUUUUUUCCCCCCUGAAUAAUAUGCUCUGCAAUGCAAGUUUCAUCGUCUCCACACCUUGUUCGUGGCAUAACUGGGCACUAAAAAGAAGGUAAACUGCAGAUCAUUCAGACUAGUGACACUGACCACUCCAUACGGACAACUAUAGAAAUCUUUGUGAACACAUGGAUUUUGACCACUUACUAAAGAGAUGGAGCUCACAAAGGACCAAGAUAAACAGUAUUGACAAGGUGAAAAGUGACAUGGAAUCUGAAAAUUUCAGCUAUUUUGAAAGGAAUCCCAAGAAAGACCCUGAUCCUUGAUCAAGCUUGAAGAACUGUAACGUACCACUGAUCUAGACUUGACAUUCUUCUGUGAUACAAAUGGAAAAGGUGAAUGCAGUCAGUGUUUGUCACUUGUUUUCACAUAUCAUUGAUUCAGAGGCAGACUCAC
Molecule: long non-coding RNA, 1055 nt
Filed under: Felis catus (domestic cat)
Lineage: Eukaryota; Metazoa; Chordata; Mammalia; Carnivora; Felidae
Description: lncRNA (ENSFCAG00000050635.1)
Source: RNAcentral